Labrus bergylta (ballan wrasse) is the source of this 814-nucleotide non-coding RNA. Lineage: Eukaryota; Metazoa; Chordata; Actinopteri; Labriformes; Labridae. The record is from the annotation of a RefSeq genome assembly.
AUGUUCUCUGCAGCUCUGAUUCUGCUGCUGAGCGCUGGAUCCUGUGUGCACUGUAUUGAUCUCAUCACACCAGGCUCAAUGGUCGUGCAGCCUGGACAGUCUCUGACCCUCACCUGUCAGGUCUCUGGUUACUCUCUGACUGAUAACAGCUAUGCAACAGGUUGGAUCAGACAGCGUGAAGGGAAACCGAUGGACUGGAUUUCUUAUCAGUGGGGUACAAGUGGACUUCUUCAAAAUAAUGCUCUGAAGAUCAAGUUCAGCUACAGCAGAGACACGUCUGCUGCAACAGUGACUCUAACAGGACAGAAUAUGCAGCCUGAAGACACUGCUGUGUAUUACUGUGCUAGAGUCCCACAGUGAGAGACAAUAACAGGAGAGUCAUACAAAAACUACUUCCUCUGUUUACCACCAUCACUGCACAUUCAGCUGUAUCAGCAUCUUUAAUUUCAGUUUAAAAUAAUCUGAGUAUUGGUUGACUGAAUAUUGGAAUCAUAUACUAUGGUCAGGUUUUAUACUCGAUUCUGAUUGGUCACAGGUUGUUGAUUUAAUUCUAACUUUGAUUAGUGUCCUCUAAGUAGUUCCUGAUAAUGAUCAAAUCAUCUCUUGCUCCUUAUAGUUCAUGGACAGUUUAUAAGUAUUUUGAGAAAAUGAUCUAUGAUAUAUGAUGUUGCCCUGCUGAACGUUGCAUGCAUUAUUUUGCUGUGGAAACCAGAGUUUGUCAAUGAAAGCUGAUAAAGAAAAAUGAAGGAGAAUUAUCCGUAUAUAGGGGAGGAAAAAUAAAUGGGAAAAAAAGGAAGAGGAGUAAGCGUCGGGA